GGUUAAGCGACUAAGCGUACACGGUGGAUGCCCUGGCAGUCAGAGGCGAUGAAGGACGUGCUAAUCUGCGAAAAGCGUCGGUAAGGUGAUAUGAACCGUUAUAGCCGGCGAUGUCCGAAUGGGGAAACCCAGUGCAAUUCGUUGCACUAUCGUUAACUGAAUACAUAGGUUAACGAGGCGAACCGGGGGAACUGAAACAUCUAAGUACCCCGAGGAAAAGAAAUCAACCGAGAUUCCCCCAGUAGCGGCGAGCGAACGGGGAGCAGCCCGGAGUCUGAAUCAGCUUGUGUGUUAGUGGAAGCGUCUGGAAAGUCGCAGGGUACAGGGUGAUACUCCCGUACACUAAAACGCACAGGUUGUGAACUCGAAGAGUAGGGCGGGACACGUGGUAUCCUGUCUGAAUAUGGGGGGACCAUCCUCCAAGGCUAAAUACUCCUGACUGACCGAUAGUGAACCAGUACCGUGAGGGAAAGGCGAAAAGAACCCCGGCGAGGGGAGUGAAAAAGAACCUGAAACCGUGUACGUACAAGCAGUAGGAGCCCACUAGUUGGGUGACUGCGUACCUUUUGUAUAAUGGGUCAGCGACUUAUAUUCUGUAGCAAGGUUAACCGUAUAGGGGAGCCGCAGGGAAACCGAGUCUUAACUGGGCGUUAAGUUGCAGGGUAUAGACCCGAAACCCGGUGAUCUAGCCAUGGGCAGGUUGAAGGUUGGGUAACACUAACUGGAGGACCGAACCGACUAAUGUUGAAAAAUUAGCGGAUGACUUGUGGCUGGGGGUGAAAGGCCAAUCAAACCGGGAGAUAGCUGGUUCUCCCCGAAAGCUAUUUAGGUAGCGCCUCGUGAACUCAUCUUCGGGGGUAGAGCACUGUUUCGGCUAGGGGGUCAUCCCGACUUACCAACCCGAUGCAAACUACGAAUACCGAAGAAUGUUAUCACGGGAGACACACGGCGGGUGCUAACGUCCGUCGUGAAGAGGGAAACAACCCAGACCGCCAGCUAAGGUCCCAAAGUCAUGGUUAAGUGGGAAACGAUGUGGGAAGGCCCAGACAGCCAGGAUGUUGGCUUAGAAGCAGCCAUCAUUUAAAGAAAGCGUAAUAGCUCACUGGUCGAGUCGGCCUGCGCGGAAGAUGUAACGGGGCUAAACCAUGCACCGAAGCUGCGGCAGCGACACUAUGUGUUGUUGGGUAGGGGAGCGUUCUGUAAGCCGUUGAAGGUGGCCUGUGAGGGUUGCUGGAGGUAUCAGAAGUGCGAAUGCUGACAUAAGUAACGAUAAUGCGGGUGAAAAACCCGCACGCCGGAAGACCAAGGGUUCCUGUCCAACGUUAAUCGGGGCAGGGUGAGUCGACCCCUAAGGCGAGGCCGAAAGGCGUAGUCGAUGGGAAACAGGUUAAUAUUCCUGUACUCGGUGUUACUGCGAAGGGGGGACGGAGAAGGCUAUGUUGGCCGGGCGACGGUUGUCCCGGUUUAAGCAUGUAGGCGGAUGUUCCAGGUAAAUCCGGAACGUUAUCAACGCUGAGGUGUGAUGACGAGGCACUACGGUGCUGAAGUGACAAAUGCCCUGCUUCCAGGAAAAGCCUCUAAGCAUCAGGUAACAUCAAAUCGUACCCCAAACCGACACAGGUGGUCAGGUAGAGAAUACCAAGGCGCUUGAGAGAACUCGGGUGAAGGAACUAGGCAAAAUGGUGCCGUAACUUCGGGAGAAGGCACGCUGAUGGUAGGUGAAGUGACUUGCUCAUGGAGCUGAAAUCAGUCGAAGAUACCAGCUGGCUGCAACUGUUUAUUAAAAACACAGCACUGUGCAAACACGAAAGUGGACGUAUACGGUGUGACGCCUGCCCGGUGCCGGAAGGUUAAUUGAUGGGGUUAUCCUCGCGGAGAAGCUCUUGAUCGAAGCCCCGGUAAACGGCGGCCGUAACUAUAACGGUCCUAAGGUAGCGAAAUUCCUUGUCGGGUAAGUUCCGACCUGCACGAAUGGCGUAAUGAUGGCCAGGCUGUCUCCACCCGAGACUCAGUGAAAUUGAACUCGCUGUGAAGAUGCAGUGUACCCGCGGCAAGACGGAAAGACCCCGUGAACCUUUACUAUAGCUUGACACUGAACACUGGUCCUUGAUGUGUAGGAUAGGUGGGAGGCUUUGAAGUGUGGACGCCAGUCUGCAUGGAGCCAUCCUUGAAAUACCACCCUUUAAUGGCUGGUGUUCUAACGUGGGCCCGUAAUCCGGGUUGCGGACAGUGUCUGGUGGGUAGUUUGACUGGGGCGGUCUCCUCCUAAAGAGUAACGGAGGAGCACGAAGGUCAGCUAAUCCUGGUCGGACAUCAGGAGGUUAGUGCAAUGGCAUAAGCUGGCUUGACUGCGAGCGUGACGGCGCGAGCAGGUGCGAAAGCAGGUCAUAGUGAUCCGGUGGUUCUGAAUGGAAGGGCCAUCGCUCAACGGAUAAAAGGUACUCCGGGGAUAACAGGCUGAUACCGCCCAAGAGUUCAUAUCGACGGCGGUGUUUGGCACCUCGAUGUCGGCUCAUCACAUCCUGGGGCUGAAGUAGGUCCCAAGGGUAUGGCUGUUCGCCAUUUAAAGUGGUACGCGAGCUGGGUUUAGAACGUCGUGAGACAGUUCGGUCCCUAUCUGCCGUGGGCGCUGGAGAAUUGAGGGGGGCUGCUCCUAGUACGAGAGGACCGGAGUGGACGCAUCACUGGUGUUCGGGUUGUCAUGCCAAUGGCAUUGCCCGGUAGCUAAAUGCGGAAGAGAUAAGUGCUGAAAGCAUCUAAGCACGAAACUUGCCCCGAGAUGAGUUCUCCCUGACUCCUUGAGAGUCCUGAAGGAACGUUGAAGACGACGACGUUGAUAGGCCGGGUGUGUAAGCGCAGCGAUGCGUUGAGCUAACCGGUACUAAUGAACCGUGAGGCUUAACCUUAC
This 2908-nucleotide ribosomal RNA is filed under the name Klebsiella sp. PL-2018. Its description in RNAcentral is "23S ribosomal RNA". It matches the Rfam family "Bacterial large subunit ribosomal RNA". Lineage: Bacteria; Pseudomonadati; Pseudomonadota; Gammaproteobacteria; Enterobacterales; Enterobacteriaceae. The record is from RNAcentral.